This 142-nucleotide small nuclear RNA is filed under the name Intoshia linei. RNAcentral's name for it is "U11 spliceosomal RNA". It matches the Rfam family "U11 spliceosomal RNA". The record is from Rfam by way of RNAcentral. Lineage: Eukaryota; Metazoa; Orthonectida; Rhopaluridae.
UAAAAGGGUCAAUGUAUUUUUAUACAAAUAACAUUUGAAACGUAAAAAUUUUAAAUGAUAUUCGGAAUCGUCAUCAAGAGAUUUCGUUGAUAUAAUUUUUGGUAUCACCGGGCGGGUUAUAUCCUUAGAUUAAUCCGUCCUU